This 254-nucleotide ribosomal RNA is filed under the name uncultured bacterium. RNAcentral's name for it is "partial 16S ribosomal RNA". It matches the Rfam family "Bacterial small subunit ribosomal RNA", at positions 524 to 776 of the family's 1533-position model. The record is from RNAcentral.
UACGUAGGUGGCAAGCGUUGUCCGGAUUUACUGGGCGUAAAGAGCUCGUAGGCGGUUUGGCAAGUCGGGUGUGAAAACUCCGGGCUCAACUCGGAGACGCCACUCGAUACUGCCAUGACUCGAGUCCGGUAGGGGAGUGCGGAAUUCCUGGUGUAGCGGUGAAAUGCGCAGAUAUCAGGAGGAACACCGGUGGCGAAGGCGGCACUCUGGGCCGGUACUGACGCUGAGGAGCGAAAGCGUGGGGAGCGAACAGG